Molecule: small RNA, 229 nt
Filed under: Castor canadensis (American beaver)
Lineage: Eukaryota; Metazoa; Chordata; Mammalia; Rodentia; Castoridae
Description: 7SK RNA (ENSCCNG00000022385.1)
Rfam family: 7SK RNA (bases 1-182)
About the family: 7SK was discovered as an abundant small nuclear RNA in the mid-70s but a possible function has only recently been suggested. Two independent studies have found that 7SK RNA binds the CDK9/cyclin T complex (known as elongation factor P-TEFb).
Source: RNAcentral
GGAUGUGAGGGUGAUCUGGCCAUGACAUCUGUCACCCCAUUGAUGCCAGGGUUGAUUUGGCUGAUAUGGCUGGCUAGGCGGGUGUCCCCUCCCUCACCGCUCCAUGUGUGUCCCUCCCGAAGCUGCGUGCUCAAUGGAAGAGGACGACCAUCCCUGAUAGAGGAGGACCCUUGCUAGAACCUCCAAACAAGCUCUCAAGAAUUUAAAAUCUAAUUAUUACUCAGUCUUU